Long non-coding RNA from Pistacia vera, 206 nucleotides. RefSeq lists it as uncharacterized. The transcript is spliced from 3 exons. NCBI's taxonomy places the organism in Eukaryota, Viridiplantae, Streptophyta, Magnoliopsida, Sapindales, Anacardiaceae. The record is from RefSeq and is a predicted model, not a curated record.
UGGCAGUCCUGUCUUGUGGGCAUCAUUUGUGCUUUUCUUGCUUGUAAACGUUAAUGGAUGGCAAGCAUUAUUGUGGGCAUCCUUAAUCCCUGUGAUUAUAAUCUUAGCUAUUGGAAUGGAGCUUCAAUCCAUUUUGACACAGUGGCUCUUGAAAUUACCGAAAGACAUGCGGUGGUGCAAGGGAUGCCACUUGUACAGGGCUCAGA